This 274-nucleotide ribosomal RNA is filed under the name uncultured bacterium. Its description in RNAcentral is "partial 16S ribosomal RNA". It matches the Rfam family "Bacterial small subunit ribosomal RNA", at positions 523 to 796 of the family's 1533-position model. The record is from RNAcentral.
AUACGGAGGGUGCGAGCGUUAAUCGGAAUUACUGGGCGUAAAGCGCGCGUAGGCGGUUGGGUAAGUCGGAUGUGAAAGCCCCGGGCUUAACCUGGGAAUUGCAUUCGAUACUGCCCGGCUAGAGUAUGGUAGAGGGAAGCGGAAUUCCGGGUGUAGCGGUGAAAUGCGUAGAUAUCCGGAGGAACACCAGUGGCGAAGGCGGCUUCCUGGACCAAUACUGACGCUGAGGUGCGAAAGCGUGGGGAGCAAACAGGAUUAGAAACCCCAGUAGUCC